RNAcentral lists this ribosomal RNA (253 nucleotides) under uncultured bacterium. RNAcentral describes it as "partial 16S ribosomal RNA". It matches the Rfam family "Bacterial small subunit ribosomal RNA", at positions 524 to 776 of the family's 1533-position model. The record is from RNAcentral.
UACGUAGGGGGCAAGCGUUGUCCGGAAUCAUUGGGCGUAAAGAGCGUGUAGGCGGCCAGAUAAGUCCGCUGUGAAAGUCCAGGGCUCAACCCUGGAAGGCCAGUGGAAACUGUCGGGCUAGAAUCCGGAAGAGGCGAGUGGAAUUCCCGGUGUAGCGGUGAAACGCGCAGAUAUCGGGAGGAACACCAAUGGCGAAGGCAGCUCGCUGGGACGGUACUGACGCUAAGGCGCGAAAGCGUGGGGAGCGAACAGG